RNAcentral lists this ribosomal RNA (512 nucleotides) under uncultured bacterium. RNAcentral's name for it is "bacterial SSU rRNA". It matches the Rfam family "Bacterial small subunit ribosomal RNA", at positions 8 to 518 of the family's 1533-position model. The record is from RNAcentral.
AGAGUUUGAUUCUGGCUCAGGAUGAACGCUAGCUACAGGCUUAACACAUGCAAGUCGAGGGGUAGCAGGGUAGCAAUACCGCUGACGACCGGCGCACGGGUGAGUAACACGUAUCCAACCUUCCCAUAACUCAGGGAUAGCCUUUCGAAAGAAAGAUUAAUACCUGAUAGUACUUUUUCAAGGCAUCUUGAGAAAGUUAAAGAUUUAUUGGUUAUGGAUGGGGAUGCGUUCCAUUAGAUAGUUGGUGAGGUAACGGCUCACCAAGUCUUCGAUGGAUAGGGGUUCUGAGAGGAAGGUCCCCACAUUGGUACUGAGACACGGACCAAACUCCUACGGGAGGCAGCAGUGAGGAAUAUUGGUCAAUGGGCGAGAGCCUGAACCAGCCAAGUAGCGUGAAGGAUGAAGGUCCUAUGGAUUGUAAACUUCUUUUAUAGUAGAAUAAAGUGAUCCACGUGUGGAUUUUUGUAUGUAUACUAUGAAUAAGGAUCGGCUAACUCCGUGCCAGCCGCAGC